GGGAAGGUAGCUCAGUGGUAGAGUGCUUGCCUUGCAUGCAUGAGGUACUGGGUUCCAUUCCU
This 62-nucleotide transfer RNA is filed under the name Dipodomys ordii (Ord's kangaroo rat). It matches the Rfam family "tRNA", at positions 1 to 61 of the family's 71-position model. Rfam says of the family: Transfer RNA (tRNA) molecules are approximately 80 nucleotides in length. Their secondary structure includes four short double-helical elements and three loops (D, anti-codon, and T loops). Further hydrogen bonds mediate the characteristic L-shaped molecular structure. tRNAs have two regions of fundamental functional importance: the anti-codon, which is responsible for specific mRNA codon recognition, and the 3' end, to which the tRNAs corresponding amino acid is attached (by aminoacyl-tRNA synthetases). tRNAs cope with the degeneracy of the genetic code in two manners: having more than one tRNA (with a specific anti-codon) for a particular amino acid; and 'wobble' base-pairing, i.e. permitting non-standard base-pairing at the 3rd anti-codon position. Lineage: Eukaryota; Metazoa; Chordata; Mammalia; Rodentia; Heteromyidae. The record is from Rfam by way of RNAcentral.